AGCAGCCGCGGUAAUUCCAGCUCCAAUAGCGUAUAUUAAAGUUGUUGCAGUUAAAAAAGCUCGUAGUUGAAUUUCGGGAUUAGUACGUUGGUCGUGCCUUCGGUACGUACUGGUGUUACUGAUUCCUACCUUCUGACGAACCAUCAUGUCAUUUAUUUGGUGUGGCGGGGAAUCAGGACUGUUACUUUGAAAAAUUAGAGUGUUUAAAGCAGGCUCGCGCUUGAAUACAUUAGCAUGGAAUAAUGAAAUAGGACGUUGACCCUAUUUUGUUGGUUUCUAGGAUUGACGUAGUGAUUAAUAGGGAUAGUUGGGGCAUUAGUAUUCAAUUGUCAGAGGUGAAAUUCUUGGAUUUAUUGAAGACUAACUACUGCGAAAGCAUUUUGCCAAGGAUGUUUUCAUUAAU
This 403-nucleotide ribosomal RNA is filed under the name uncultured Glomus. RNAcentral's name for it is "SSU rRNA". It matches the Rfam family "Eukaryotic small subunit ribosomal RNA", at positions 569 to 977 of the family's 1831-position model. The record is from RNAcentral. Lineage: Eukaryota; Fungi; Glomeromycota; Glomeromycetes; Glomerales; Glomeraceae.